Long non-coding RNA from Felis catus (domestic cat), 14668 nucleotides. RefSeq lists it as uncharacterized. The record is from RefSeq and is a predicted model, not a curated record. The transcript has 4 exons. Lineage: Eukaryota; Metazoa; Chordata; Mammalia; Carnivora; Felidae.
GGCAGCACAGAGCCCGAUGCGGGGCUUGAACUCACAGACCACGAGAUCGUGACCUGAGCUGAAGUUGGACAGUUAACCAACUGAGCCACCCGGGUACCCCAAAGUCAUUUUUUUUAAGUCCACUGACAUCACCUCAAAGGAAGUUGUGUGUUUCUUACAAAGAAAACUGCAGCAAAAAAUUUUAAAUUGUUUACUCUUUUUAUUUAGGUUUAGAUUUGGGAUAAGAGGGAGAAAACCUUAACAGAACAAAGGAGUUGUUGAUGUUAUGCCCAGUUAUCCAGAUAGGGUCAUGAUAGGCCUCAUGGUGGCCUGAGAGCAAAACAGACUACUUUGAGAAAUAAUUUGCCAGCAGUCUUCUUCAUUUCCGAAGCAUAUCUCCUCAAAGAGUUUUCUUGAAGAUGAUACAUAACUUGGGCAGGAAACGAUCUAUCCGAGGUUAAAAGUCCCACUGCAGGUGACUGUGAAGGAGAAAGUGGAAUUCUCAGCUCCGUCUCUGCUUGACUUGAUCAUAUAAGCUUAAUAUAAACAGCCCUGAGAAACAGGUCAGUAUUGCAAAUUAAAAAAAAAAACAAAACAAAACCCAAACCUAAGGAACAAGGAGAGAGGGGAAUUAGGUCUAGAUCGAAGUUUUAGCCUUACGCUAGCUAAAAAUAAUCACUUGAAGUUUAUUCAUGAAUAUUUCAAAAUAAAUGUUUGCUCCCACCCCUUCCAUCUCUGAAGUUCCAUUAUCCCUACAUGUUCCCAGCAGCUCCUACCUUCUACCCCCACUUGAAACUCACAAGUCUUUUUUCCCCUCUCUACAUACCUUUGGUAAACUCAGGGCUUUUUGGAACUCAGGAGCUUUGUAUGGGUUCCUUAAUUCACACCUGGAGUCACAACCUAGCAUUAUAGUUCCAGUUGUCUUGGGGGCAUCUCCUCUCAGACUUAUUGUCUUAUCUCAGCUUCACAGAUUGAAUGGAAUGAAGAUGUCUUGUCCCGUGUUGUACUAAAUCAGAAUACAUCCCAAUUCUUCCUUUUUCCCUGAAGACAACUGCAGUUCUGUGUUCUGAAGUUUUCUCCACGUACCUCUCUCACAUUUGCCUCUCUGUCUUCCUAUUUAUCUCCCUAAAUUUCAAGCUGCAGAUCAGACCAUAUGUCUUGUGGAUGAAUUUCUUUUGAAAUGGGAUUCUGAUGGCAGGGAAGCAAGAUCAUUUAGUAUGCUAGAUUUCCAGUAACCCCUAUAGCUGUAGACCAGGGGUCGGCCAGCUAGUGCCUAUAGCCAGAUGUGCUGCAGGCCUAUUUUUGUGAAUAAAAUUUACGGAACAAAGCCACACUCAUUUGUUUAUGUAUUGCCUAUGGCUAUUUUGCAGGACAGUGGCAGAGUUAAGUAGUUGCAAGGGAGACAGUCUGGCCCACAAUGUCUAAGAUAAUAUUUUACUGUCUGGUCCUUUACAGAAAAAAAUGUACCAACCUUUGACAUAGGCCAGAGAGCAAACUGGGUUUGGGUAACUUGUAUCAUACACGUGGUUGUUUUAAAAAUACGUCCAUAAAUCUUUUGAUACUCCUCUUUGAGAGGUAGAGCUUCAUUUUCCUCCCCUUGAAGUUUGGGCUGGACUUGCUUAGAAAUGGAAUCCAGCAGUGAUGGGCUGUCACUUCUGAGAUUAGGCUGUAAAAGGACAGGCUUCUGUUUUGGGUGUGCACUCUCCUGGAUCACUUGCUAUGGGAGAAGCUCUAUUGUGAGGAGACCGAGGCAGUCUUUGCUGAGAGAGACCCACAUGGCAAGUAGCUAUGGCUGGCAGCUAACGCUGAGGCUCCCCAGCCCACAGCCAUGUGGGUGAGCUUGGAAGCAGAUCCUUCAGCCCCAGUGGAGCCUUGCGAUCACUGCAGCCCCAGCCAACAGCUUGUCUGCUGCCUCAUUAGAGACCUUGAACCGGACCUGCUAAAUCCUAGGUUCCUCACACUCAGAAACCGUGUGGGACAAGCUGUUUGUUGUUCUAAGGUGCUGAGUUUAGGGGUAAUUUGUCACAUAGGAUUAUACAGCUAAUACAAUAAAGAGCUGCCCUGCUGCCUCUCCCCCGCCCCCCAACACGUACCCAUUACUGCCAGCAAGAUCACCCAGGGUCUUGUGCUGCCCCCACCCCGGGUCCAGAAAAUGAGGCUUGCCUUUUUGGAAUGAACACUUCUUGAAGAAAGCUCUGUGGGACUAGGUCGAACACAAAGCUUUCUCAUACAGAAUUUUGUUACCUGAACCACCCACAAGGUAAGUCUAUAGUAUGUGCCUAAAAGUUAUCUUGUCCAGUAUUAAACCAUCUUACCUACGACAACUAAUUGGGGGGAGAAAUUAGACUCUCGCAGAAAAGUGUUUGCUGUGGAAAAUGAUGCAAAAAGAGGCGGGAUAGGUGAUCAGUUUUCAAAGCUGGAAAAAAAAAAUCUCAAGAAAAUGAGAAAUAUUUCUACCUCAAAUGUCUUAGUUUCUAUCCUUAACAGGAGGCUGGUGACCCAUUGGUUCUAAAACGGCCUAUUCCAUUUCACAGGCAUUUGUGUCUUUCAAAAAAAGAGGAAAUUUUUUUCAAAGGUUCCAGAUCAGUUUGGUGAUGGCCCCUCCCAUUUAAAACAGCCAUUUUCUUAACACUAAGAAUUUGAAUAAUUAGAUCACUUUUCCUACAAAAGAUUUUCUGAUAACAAGGAAUGGGUCCCCUUUCACACUAUAAAUUCUACUCAAUUCUUGGCAUCAGCUUUAAGCAUGACUUUGAUGACAUUCCUUUAGCCAGAAUUGGGUAAGGUCCCGUAGGCAAUGGAUGUUAUUUCAAACCACUGUCUGGAAGCAAGCGGGAUAAAAGGUGGAUGUAGGGCUCCAUAAGGACCUGCCAAAUGGGGAGAAGGGUUCAUGCAGAAAGGGCAAACCAUUUCUCAGGUUUUCUAUUCCACUUUGUAAAGGAAAAGGGUUAUACUCCAGGGACAGAAGUUAACAAAGGACACCGCUCAUGUGCUGCAGUAAACAGCCUACCAUUUUUCAUAUGGACUGAAAUCAAGGCAAACAAGGUAAUCUUAACUCACUCUCAAUCUGACUGUUUGAUUAUAGUCAAAAACCUGGUGUGGUCUCUCCUGCUUCCCUUUCCUGUGACCACCCUGGGAGCUAUUGUAUGGAGAACCCUGACCCUUUCUCCUGAUAGCUCCUCUAAGUCCAUGACCAUUGCAGCAGGUCCUGCUGGAAGACAGUCAAGGGGUAGGAAGGACAGAAGAUGGUUACACCUGGGAAAUGGGGCCUGUGGGGAAGUGGGGGAGAGUGCUGAGGCGAGCUUUCACAGCAUUCAUAGGUCCUUUUGAAAUAUCUGAUUUUUUUUUUCUGACAAUGAUUAUGCAUUCCUUUUGUAAUGUUUCAUAAAAGAAGUCAAGGAAGCAACUUAAUCUUCUUUCUGCAAUUGUUGGCAUUCCUCUUCCUUCUGCUCAUGCCACCUUCUCACCAACCAUCCAUCAUCCAGUAUGUGGCAGAAAGCAGAUAUGACUGAACUGACUGCUUUUCAUAUUCCCCAACAGAAAGACAAGGUGAAAGUCAAAGAGAAGUGAUCAACAUGAAAAUAAAUGUUUAACCUCACAAGUAAUCAAAGCGUGCAAAUUAAAACAACAAUUGGUUGCCUUCAAAUGGUUGCUUUCAAAGAUGAAAAAGAAGGGUGAUAUUCGGUGCUAAGGGGGUGGUGGGGAUAUGGUCACUCUCAUAUCUGGUCUUAGAAGAGUAAGUUCGUAUACCUUUUUGAGCAAGAACCUGGCAGCAGUUACACCAAGUGGCAAAAAGCAGGUCACAAACCAGAGUGAUCUCUUGGUUUUGUAAAAAUACAUAUAUAUAUAUAUAUAUAUGUUAAAAAAAAGACAUGAAGAAUGUACAAAAAUUAAUAGUGGUUAUGCUUGGGUUGUGGAUAUUUGUCUUUAACAUUUGCAUUUAUGUUUUUCUAAGUUUUCUUAGAAACGUUAUAAUUUGAGAGAAAAUGCAUGUUAAUUUCCAGUUAUCAAGGGAGGGGGAAAAUGUAGGGAGGAAAGAAGGAUAUGGCAGGAAAAGAUUUAGUUUUAGCGGAAACGAGCAGACCUCUUAAAAUCAAGGUGGCUUGAGAAGAGGCUUGGUAGAGCAAACUCUGGUUCAGUGGAAUUAUCCAAAUGCACGUACAGUUUCAUGCCCUUUUCACUUUCCCAUUUAAAAAAAAAAAGGUCCCAACACCAUCAUACUCAGGUACAUAAGAUUAAAUUAUUUAAGCCUAGAAUGGCAUUUAGGGAAGUCUGGAGUUGUGGUUCAGAGGACAGAGCAUUCCUUGGAGUGUGGCCCAUACUAAGAGCCCUAUACUCAGUUGAGAUGGAUUUAUGAAGUGGGCACCAGAAAGCCCAGAAAUCUGUCCUGUCAUUUACACUUCUUGAAAAUUGAAGCCUCACUUAGAAAAUUGAAAAGGACCUUCUGCCCCACGCAAACUAUAGAAACCUGAAAGUGGUAAAGAGACUAUUCUUGAAUGUGAUUCCCAUUUCUCAGUACACUCUUUAUUGAGGUAUAUUUAAUCUAGUUUUACAGAGCUUGACUGAAGUGGGUGCAUGUGAUGGAAGUGUGACCAGAACUUGGAUUAGAGAAGACUGGGGAUCAAAGCCCUGGACAAGCUGCAGUGGAUGCCUUGGCUUGAGGAUCACCAGCGCAGAAUUUGACUCCUGUUCGUCUUUGAAUUUGUAGCUGGCAUAAUCCAGUGGGGCAGGAAGCAACUUGGGGAUUCAGACAUUUGCUUAUUUCUCCUUCUUGGUAAGUGUCUCCCCCAUUCACCAAACUGAGCCUCAGCCCUUUGCCAUUUGUCAUUUCUGUCAGCUGGCAGGCCACACCUGGUAGAACCAUGUCCCUCCCGCAUGUCAGAAGACAGAGGCAGUGUGGCAUAAGGGACUAUGGUCCAGGUCUGGCCAUUAGACAAGAAUGCGUGACAACCCUGUGAAUCUGGGAGUCUUUCUUUGUAAAAUAGCGAUAAUGAUUAUUCUUCUGCUUUUGCCAUAACAAAAGAACCUAGGCUGAAGGGCCUAAAUGAUAGAAAUGUGUUUCUCACAGUUCCUGGAGGCUCAAAGUCCUAGAUCAAGGUCUAGCAAUAUUUGGGUUUCUAGGAAGGACUUUUCUGGUUUGGAGACAGCCGCUUUGUCAUGGCCUUUGACAUGGUUUUUCCUCUGUCUCUUCUUCUGACACUAUCCUAUCGGAUGAGGCCGCAUGCACCCUUAGGACCUCAUUUUACCUUAAUUACCUCCCAAAGCCCUACAUGCCCCAAAUCACUGGGUCAUAUACCUUAAAAGGAUAAAUGUUAUGGUAUAUGAAUUGUAAUGCAAAAAAUAAACUCAACAUGCCAAAAAAUCCUACUCUGUAGGAUAAUUAAGAGGGUGAAAGGGACCUGUGUGCACAUAGCACAGUGCCUGGCAUAGAGCACCCCAUGGAUAAAAUAGUCCAUGUAGGGUCAGAAAAUGCGAAGGUUGUAAAGCCAUAAACCUGGUUCCACAAGCCUCGAAUCCUGUCUCCAACAUCCUCAAGGAUGUUCACUGCAUGGCUCUACUUCUUCCUCUGCUGUUCACAAUCUGCCGUCUGCAUCUUUCCUCGCCUUCGGGAGGUGGGUCAGGCAGGCACCCACCACCCUGGCUACCAUGUAAGCAGCCCGCGUGUAUGCCUCUGACCUUGUUCUCCCACAGACCUCCAUGUCUCUCCUGUUCCCUGUGCUGCCGUGUGCCCAGCUCUCCCCGCCUGCCCACAUCCAGAAGGCAAGGCCAGAAGGACACGACACUUCAGGCUUCAGCCUGGGCCCACUCCCAUCUUUUCCAGGUGCUUUGUCUUUAACCACAGGCCUGGUUUAUAGGGCAGAAAAACCAGCCUGUUUGGCUACGGGCUUCCCUCACCACAGGCUGGCCACUGAAGCCCAGGAUGAAGAAGCAAGGCUUUCCCUGGGGCUGGUUGUGAGGGCAGGUAACAGAUGGGUAGCAGAAUGCAGGUAGCAAGAGCUCGGGGCAGUGUGCUGUCCGGAUUUGUUCUCUCCCUGCUAGCUUCUUCCUUUCCAGCUGGAGUCAAAGUUGCAGCUCACCCGGGAUGGCAGCUCCUAUUGGCAGGAUAAAAAUACCCCUCAGUUUGACUGCUGAGGCCCAUGCAUGGCCAACUCAGCCAUUAAGGGCAAGGAGAGAGGAAAGAGUACGGAAUGCUGGUGACUUCCCUGCAGGGAAAGGUGGCCGUUGGAGUCUCCCGCCCACUUACACGUGGAUGAUGCAGGCUUCUAGUGCUCAGAGGAAGUUCCAGUCACACCGGUGCCCUCUCCAUCAGCAUGAAACCUCUUAUUAGCAUGUUUCUGACUUUUAUUGUGCAUCGACCCCUUUGAGAAUUUAUGGAAGCUCUGGACCAUUUCCUCAGGAAAAGAAAUCCACAGAGGUGCAUUUUCACACACACAAAACUACACAGCUCAGAGGAUGUACAGAACUCUUGAAGCUAAGAGGUCCAUAAAUCCCUGGGCCAGAAUAGAGUUUAUAAUAGGGAUGAAAGAGUUUAUAACAGCCAUCAGAAUAGCAAUGAACUGUAGGGAGAUAAUGGAAGCAAGGCUGUUGACAUGUCAAGUGCUGUGUCCUGAGAAUGCCUUCUGUUUGUGCGGGGGACAGGGGGCCAGCAGACGAUGCUCUAAAUGUGGUACAGACCCUUGGGGCAUCACAGGUCAGGUCCAGAAAUACCAGCAAGGAGACACCUCAGACCAAAAUCAAUAAAAGAGCUCCCUGGGAAGUGGCUGAAAAAGGAAGCUCCAGAGAAGCCCGGCCUCUACUGAUGAGGCAUUUCUAAAAUCAAUUGCCUCCUCCUUGGGUGGCAGAAGGGUCAGGAUACAGGCCCCUGUCGGGGUUGAGGGGUUUCCUGAGCACUUUUGACCAGCUCUCUGUUAGGGCAAAUUAUAAAAACGUUGCUCGCCCUGCUGUGAAGGCCCGUAGUUCCACCACUGAGAUUGUUGCUGGGGGUAUGUCCCAGAAGUGGGAAAAGGGCGUCUCACUGCACCCGGACAGACUCCUGAAGUGCUACAGGAGUGUCCGGCAAUGGGAGUAGAGAGGAAAAGGAAGAGAUGGAUCAAGAGCCUGUGGAGCCUCAGAAUUCAACUGAAGUCAGUCGUGUCUUCCAGGGAAGCACUGGUUCAGUGAGUAUGGUCAGAUGCUUGUGAACUCUACAUCUUGGCAUGUUGAGAACAGUGGGGCCCUCAGUCCGUUUCCUACUAGUUAAUUAUCAGAAGCCAGGACAUAGGUAUUAUAUUAAGGCCUUAAGUUCUAUUUUCAGUACAAAGAGGUGCAAUUGAUUAAAGUCCAGAUGAGUAUCAGCAGCAUCAGAGCAGGGAUGCUCACAGCUGGCUAAGCAACCUGGACUGCUGCAGGGGUCUGGCUUCUAGCAGCAACCCCCUCCUCACUGCGUCCUCAUCUGUACUUUGUCCCCGCGGCCACCACUCGGUUCCUCAGUACUCAGGAGGCUCCCAUCACUUUAUAAGUAACUGUGUAUUGGUCCUGUUAAUUUCAGUAUCUAUACUUUUGUAAUAGACAAAUCAUUUCGUAUCAUCCCUAGUUCAGAAUCAAAGGAGGGAGAAGCCCAUAAACUCUGCUCCUCUCUGGAUGAAAAGUUAUUCUGCCAGGCCUACCACAUGGGUUUCCUGAGCUAGUCAGUUGCAACCAGGUGGUCCUGGGGCUUACAGUGUGACUUACUAGCUAAGACCAUGUCCCUCCUCGCAGAAUGGGAGCCGGGACUGCUUGGCAGGGGGAUAUGAGUGUGACUGACAGUUUGAAGAUUGCUCUCUUGUCAGUACAUUCACGUGGGACUGUUCUCAUGUCUCAUAAGGCAGAACUGCCAAUAGUACAAGACCUUAGUCUACCAAAAAGAAAACAAAAUCCACACACACACACACACACACACACACACACACAGACACACACACACAAAACCCUCUUUAAUACACAUAUAUUGUUUUUUUUUUCUUUUGAACAAAUUAGAUUGUAUUGUCCAGUUUCCAAAGUCACCUUUAAAGACCAAGAGCCUUUUUAAGGCAGAAGUAGUAGUGCUCAUGAAAUAUUCUGUCCAUACUGUGCCAUCUCCUAGGCCCUUGCAGUGAGGUACGUGGCUAUUUCUAGCCACUGGGUUUUGGAAGGAAGAGAAGUGUGUUUUUCUUUGGAUGAAGUGUAGCAUAGCCAGUGUGUGACAAUGCUCCAUUUCUACCUUUCCUCGCUAUAGUGACCAAGAGGCUCACACACUGCAUGUGAUCAGCUGUAUGCUGGUGACGCUUCAUCAGCAUAAGUCCCUGGGGGUUUGUGGAGCAGAGCUCCACUGACCCACAUUAGAAACAGAGCAUGAGUGAGGAAGGAAGAAAACUUCCUGGUUAUAAGCCACUGAGAUUUCUUGGUGAUUGUUGCCAAAGCAUAGCCUGGCCUGUCCUGACUUACUCACAGACAGAUCUGGGAGACAUCACAGGAGGACACCACUGUGAAUAGAGUUGAUCUUCUGUGGACCUUCCAGCUGAUCAGACUUCCAACUCUGCAAACCUAAUGAGUCUCUCUGCUUCCCUGGUUAUUUUAGGGGCUCUCCUACCACAUGGAAAGUACAGCAUCCCUUUGUGCAAGAUCCAGAUUCCAAUUUCUUCUUUCUCUUCUUGAACAAUCAUACUUAUUGAGGCUUAAUUUACAUAUGUAAAAUUCAUCCUGUUUAGUGUAGGGUUCCGUGGGAUUCGGGUAAGUGCAUAUGGUAGUGUAGCCACCAAUACAAUUUGUAGGAGAGCUCCAACCAGUAUCCACCCCCACCCACCUCCAAUUUCCUUGUGCCUCUUUGGAGUCCAGCCCUCCCCCAACCACAGCCCUUGGCAACUACUGAUCUAAGGCCCAUCCUUUUAGGUUUGUGUUUUCCAAAAUGGCAUACAAAUGGAACCACACAGUAUGUAGCCUUUAAAGCAGAAAACCUUUUUAUUUUGGAGUACUUACAGAUUGACAGAAAAGUUGCAAAGAUAGUACAAAGUUCCUCACCCAGCUUCUGCUAAUGUUAACAUCUUACAUAGCUGGAGUAUUUUGACAUAGUAGUCAAAAUUAGGAAAUUAACAUUAGCACAAUACUAUCAACGAAACUAUAGACUUUUUUUGGAUUUCAUCCACUUUCCCACUAAUAGUCUUUUUCUGUUCCAUGAUCCCAAAUGGCAUUUGGUCAUCAUGUCUCCUUAAUUUCCUCCCAUCUGUGGUGGUUUCUUGGUCUUGUUUUUCAUGACCUUGACACUUGUGAGCUACACUGGUCAGGCAUUUUGUAGAAUGUCACUCAAUUUGAGUUUGUUUGAUAUUUUUCUUAUGACUAGACCAGGUUAUGAGUUUUGGAAAGAAUACUACAGAGAUGAAGUUCCCUGUCCAUUGCAUCAUAUCAGGGGUACAUGAUAGCAACAUGAAUCAUCCUGUUGUAUGGGUCAAGAGUUGCCUCCUGUUCACAGCUAAAUAAUAUCUCACUGGAUGCAUGUACCACAGUUCUUCAUUCUCCAGGAGAAGGAUAUUUAAGUUCCUAGUUUUUGAAGAUUAUGAGUAAAGCUGCUACUAACAUUCACAUAGAGGUUUUUGUGUGAACAUGUAUCUUUUCUUCUCUAGGGUGAAUUCCUAAGCGUGGCAUCGCCAGGUUGUAUGGUAGCAAAGCCUGUUCAACUACCACAAUCAUCCUCUGCCCUUCACCCACAGAUCAACUUUAAAAUGCAACUAAAAUGAUCCAUUCAACUGAGAAGAACCCCACACCCCUUCACCCCCACCCAGUACCCAGCAAGCUAGUUCCCUGAGCCUCCAGGCUGGAUGGAGCAAGUCUACCCUCCUGCUUCUCUGCUUCGUCUCCUUACUGCGGUUGCUGUGGGGCUCUCACGGCUGCGAACACACGUGACCCAGGAGGAAACGAGUCCUUAAUCUACGUUCCACACAGGGCAGCUCCACUCAGGAAUCCUUAAUCCCGUGCUCACAAGGUGACUCCAGGGUGCUUAUUACUAGGGAGACACAGAAGAUUUGGGGAAACUGGAACCCCCUUCUCUGGGGUUGCAACACCUUGGGCCAGAGGGAGAUGCCUACGAAUAGGCCUCAGGGGCCAGGCAGAGCACCAAGGGUGUGCUUAUCAUGAAAUGGGGGAAGGGCAGGCAGGAGAUGAGGGGUGGUUCCUCCUAGGAAAACUGUGGGCUAUGCUUGAAGGAAGUGCGAUCUGAGGGGUGGGUAGGGGUGUGAUGGCAGCCAGGGGUAAGGGGACAGGGGCAUCCCACGGGGAGUGUGCAGCAAAUGCACAGGCCCAGCAUGGAGAGGGAGGGCUUCUGGUGCAGCAAGCUUUUCUGUGUAUGUGUGGGAUGAGGUGGGGAGGCUGUGUGGAGUGGAGAGGGGAGGGCCUAGGGCUGUAUCCCUGUAUCCUCAAAGACCAUACAUGCCAGGCUGAAAAGUCACCAAAUGAGAUUCUUACAAAUGAGACUCUGUGGACAGUUUAUGCCGGCCAAGACAUGAGCAGAGCUGCUCCAGCCACAGAAUACGCUGAGUCCCAGCCCCCUUUCGCCUUCAGGUCUCUUCUUGAGCAGUGGAGGAGGAGGAGGAGGAGGAUGCCUUCCAGUCCCCCAGGGCCAUCUUGCAGAGGACAGUGGCUACUGCUGGACCAGGUCCUUCCCUGAGGGCACACUGCAGAGCCAAGAAGCCGCAUUCCUGUGUUGGGGGAAGUGGCCAAAGGAGACCCUUCCAAAGCCGGAGACUGAGGCUACAAGAAUGCAGCAGAGGCCAGCUGGGCAGAGAGGACCAAUUCCAGGAUAAUCAUCAACGCUACUCCUCUCAGGGCCGCUGGCUCACUGACAGGGGUGUGUGGCCUCUCAGCAUACCACAGGUGACACAGGGAGGGGAGGAGAGGUGCCAGCCCUGGGGACUCAACACCCGUGAAGUGUCUGAACCACUUACAUGCCCACAUGCAGAACUUGUUCCUAUCUCUCCCCAAGCCAACAAAAGUCCAUGCCUUCCUCUCCUGCACUGUAUGUGGGAUGCAUGGGAUCUCGUCAGUAGUUUCAUGCAGGUGGGGCUCGUCUUUGUUCUCCUCAUCUGUCCCUCUCCAGCCUCAACGUCCAUGGUACCUCCCCACUGAGUCCCCACAACAGACUCUCUUAACGUGCUUUUGCAUGUCAAAUAUCUCUGCCAUUUAAUUAAAAAAAAAAAACAAAAAACAAAAACAGUUAAUAUCACAAAGGACUCCAGAAAUACAUGCUUUUGAAUUCCAGCCACAGAGAAGACAAGAGGAGACACUGGCAUCUGCAGAUAUGGCUGCUUUCCAUAAGAAAGGUUCGUGCAGUGAGACCAGCCCAGCUCCUCAGCCCAUGUGAGAACACAUACCCCACCACACAAGGGCUGAGGGACAGUGUCUUUGGUUGGCUGGGGCUUCAUCCAGAGCUCAUUGGAAGGUGGCGUGGCAAGAAGGGGAAGUCUUCCUGCAGCCCCCUUACGAGGGCGACAAAGGCAGGGAGUACAUGAGGAGGCAUUUAAGCUUUGCUAGCCUCCCGCCGCCUCUUAGGCUACAGGACUCGUUACUGCAUCCUCAUACAGAAUAGGUUGAUGAUUUGAACUUGGAUCUCACAGUAGCCCAGUGACACAUCAGCAGCCAUAAUGCAGACGUCAGCAGGAGAGCGGCCAGCCGGAAAAUUGCUCCUAGACAAUCGUGUAUUGUUAGAUCCACAUAGAGAAUACAUUCAGACCCUUUAUACCAAAUAAGAGUAAAUAAUUAUACCAAUAUAAACAGGGCCUCUGACCCUUUCAUUUUAUUAAAAUGGCACGUAAAUAUGAAAACAGCAUACUGAUCACUUCAUACGUCUGCGUGUCCCCAGGUGUGUGGCCGAGGAGUGGCACGAGGGCUCCCUCCGAGAGGCUGCAGAAUCAUGCAUUGAGCAAUUCAUGUUCUUUAUCGGUUUUCCCAACAGCAUCAGGAUUUGACAGUGGGUCGAGGUCAGCAAAGAGGCUGAACCAGGCAGUCAGGUCCGAGGAGGCAGCCUUGGCAGGUUCUGGGGAGAGAACAGGCAACAUGAAUACACGUACCUUCCAAAGGCCCACCUCUGCCAUGCUGCAUACAGGUGGGUCCAGGCUCGUCUGGAAAAGGGAGGAUACUACUCAGUCAGACGAAUCCUAUUACACUCUGUCUCUAAAACUAGCUAGGGGAUUCCACAUCUCCCUGUUGGCUAUCGGAGAAACAUUUCUAAACCAUGGCCUGAAGCUCAGUGAAGAACAAGCCCAGUGUUAAUCCACACCUGCACCCCCAUCCCAGCGGAUGGCACGGCCCAACAAGUUGCCUAAAACCUCAGAUGGUGCUGCUUCAACGCAAGUAGGAAAUAUCACUGUGAUUUCAGAAAUCGAAUGAAUGGCUGAGGAAUGGCUGUGAUUUCAGAAAUCAAAUGAAUGGCAUGGUGCCUUCCAGUGUCCACUGGAGGAAUCUUUUCGAAUCUGCUGGGUCAAGGGAAGUAUGAUGGUCACUCUUUUCAGGCUUUAGGGCAUCAGGCUGAGAGGAGGGUUUCUCCUUUCUCAGGGUCACUGCCCUCAUCCACCAUCUCCUGUUAGAGGGAGGAGGCCUUUGACAUGCCUCCCUUCCUCCCCCCUCACACCCCUCCCACUUCACCAUCUAUGGAUGCUCCCGUCAGCUGUUCUUUAACUGAACCACCCGCCCUAACUUCCCGAAUGCCACAAUUACAGAGCCAAAUUAUUUUCCAGAUGAGGAGAGUAUUUUCAAAAGAGUGCCUCAUGCAAGUGAUUUCUACACAAGUUGGGGCCUCUUUAUAUAAAUCAUUCCACAUGAGGAUCGAAGUUCAUUGGCUUGGACGACCCAGGCUUUUUUCCCCUUCCCCAACAGGUGGGAGUAUCAAAAGCACGAAGAAAACGUCUGACAGGUUAUCCUUCUAGCUGAGAGCAACAAGGAAUGUGCUUGCCAUCUGGCUGAAAGAGUCUCGGAAAAUACUGGUGGGACAGGCUGCUACAAGGUUAUGCCAGAGGAACAGGACAGUGGUUGUGGGCUUAUCCUACAGCAACAAGGGCUUUGGUCUUUUCACGAAAAUGGCACUGAAAUGUUAAGAUAAGGUGCCAAUCAUGGUAUAGUUCUGAUUCCUGUCUUUUGUUUUUCCCCAUAAUCUCUCAUAGGUAUAUUACUUUAUCAUGAGAUAAUCAACACAUCCGUUACAGAGAUAAAAUGACUACAAGCAAUGCUCACUGGCAAGAGGCAAGUUAUUGUGUAACAUUAAUCGAUCUCCAUGUACAAUCAACCUGCAGAACACUUGGCUUAGUUUGAUACGAUGAACUGAGACCCAAGAGAUCUCAAUAUAGGUUGGUUGGGGAGUGGAGUGGGGAAUAAUUUUUAAAAAGGGAGUAACCAACUCAACGUUUAGUCAUGUAGGAGUCCACACAGCAAACUGUAUGGGGCAAGACUGAUUUAAAGAGGAUUAGCCAUCUCGAUUCUUGAUAGGGAAUAUCAAGAUCUCUUAAAGAGAUCUCCAGCAAAAAUACACUACGUCACUACAUCCACUUCCUCUUUUCCUCCUAACCUCCCAAAGGUGUAGGGCGGCCUCAGAGGGUAGCUGUGGCCUUGCUAGGAGGAGUCAGGUGACUGUACUUUGGUGCAGCCCUCACCUUCCCUAGACCUCUACUGCCAGAGUUUGGGAAACCAGGGGCAACUGUUUGCACAAUACCUACAAGAACAUCCUGGGAAUGCUUCUGGAUGAUAAAGACACUCCCUGCAACUUCCUGUGGUUAACACGGAAAGUGGGUGAUGACCAAAGGAAGAGAGAGACAGCUGCAAAUACAGAGAUCUUCAGUCAAGCACAGGUUCUCUUUGGGGACCUGUCUCAGAAAAGAACAGUCCCACGAGCUUGAAAGGCCCUCCUCUGACAGCUAAGUAAACCUGGCUCUUUGUUAGGUGGAGGCAAUGGUAGUUUCAGUAAAAGACAGCAAACUUCACUGGCCUUUCCUACCUUGCUGGAACCAUUCAACCUUGGGCAGCACACAAUCACAUGGGGAGAGGUUAUUUGGUUCCUCCUCCUUUGGUUUAAUAAGGGGAAUUAUUAGUUGGGACACUGGGCCAGAAUAAAAGAACAUAAUUCCUAGGAUCAUGCAAAACUCUCCACCCUUGUAGCCCAUGCUUUGUACCCUAGGUGCUCAAAUAGAAAUUAGUAAAGAAAAGACAGAAAAUAGUGUUAGGCUAGUUGAAUGGAAGGCAAUUGUCAUUUCCAGGGAAUAAAACACUAUAUUACCUUUCAUUGCAGGGCUGUUGUCAUUUGGACUGCUUGCCUGUGGUGCUGGCCAUGGAGUAGGAGGAGGAUUGACAUUGUUCUCUGACCAGCCUAAUAUUCAAAACCAGAGGUUGUUAGGUCGAGGGAAGAACAGGCACACUGCCCUACCAGGCACUGGGCACACACACGGUCUCACCCAUAGUGGCCUCCAAAGAAAGGGAAAAGGGUGAUAAGACCCUUCUGCCAUGUUCUUCAUACCUGGGGUAUAUUUUAUGGGACAGUAGCUCUAUGCCCAUUUUUCUUCUCAAGUAACAUCAUUUCAUGGUCACACCAAAGAUUAUCCGUAGCAUUCCAAGGAAAUCAAGUGCCUUGUUUUUCUGUCAUAAAUGGAGAAAGCUUAAAAACAAAGUGAACAAUAGUAAAUAUAGUGAUAUAACUAAUAAACUGUGGGUCUUCUCCACUUCA